GAUGAACGCUGGCGGCGUGCCUAAUACAUGCAAGUCGAGCGAACGGACGAGAAGCUUGCUUUUCUGAUGUUAGCGGCGGACGGGUGAGUAACACGUGGAUAACCUACCUAUAAGACUGGGAUAACUUCGGGAAACCGGAGCUAAUACCGGAUAAUAUUUUGAACCGCAUGGUUCAUAAGUGAAAGACGGUCUUGCUGUCACUUAUAGAUGGAUCCGCGCUGCAUUAGCUAGUUGGUAAGGCAACGGCUUACCAAGGCAACGAUGCAUAGCCGACCUGAGAGGGUGAUCGGCCACACUGGAACUGAGACACGGUCCAGACUCCUACGGGAGGCAGCAGUAGGGAAUCUUCCGCAAUGGGCGAAAGCCUGACGGAGCAACGCCGCGUGAGUGAUGAAGGUCUUCGGAUCGUAAAACUCUGUUAUUAGGGAAGAACAUAUGUGUAAGUAACUGUGCACAUCUUGACGGUACCUAAUCAGAAAGCCACGGCUAACUACGU
This 496-nucleotide ribosomal RNA is filed under the name uncultured bacterium. RNAcentral describes it as "partial 16S ribosomal RNA". It matches the Rfam family "Bacterial small subunit ribosomal RNA", at positions 28 to 506 of the family's 1533-position model. The record is from RNAcentral.